Molecule: non-coding RNA, 93 nt
Organism: Acanthosepion pharaonis
Lineage: Eukaryota; Metazoa; Mollusca; Cephalopoda; Sepiida; Sepiidae
Source: the annotation of a GenBank genome assembly
GUUGAAACACUGAUUCCCUUUACGAUCACCGAAGUUAAGCAACGUCGAUACUGAUUAGUACAUAGAUGGGUGACCACUGGGGAUUACCAGCUG